RNAcentral lists this long non-coding RNA (292 nucleotides) under Rattus norvegicus (Norway rat). RNAcentral describes it as "long non-coding RNA NONRATT019510". Lineage: Eukaryota; Metazoa; Chordata; Mammalia; Rodentia; Muridae. The record is from RNAcentral.
CAACACGGAACUGCUGUGCAGCGCUCGAGCUUCACUCGACCUACUUAAAGAACUACCCUUUCCCGUUCCGGCCUGAGUGAAGCAGGCUGGUGGGCCAGUGAUACCCAGGAAUUAAGAAGUUUUUGGAACCCGGGAGGUCGCAGACGACUGCUCUGUGGCUGUUAUCAUGCCACAGAAUGAAUAUAUUGAAUUGCACCACAAGCGAUAUGGAUAUCGUUUGGACUACCAUGAGAAAAAGAAAGAAGGUCUGGAGGCCCAUGAACGUUCAAAGAAAGCAAAAAAAAAAAAAAAA